This 528-nucleotide long non-coding RNA is filed under the name Homo sapiens (human). RNAcentral describes it as "HSALNT0367114". The record is from RNAcentral. Lineage: Eukaryota; Metazoa; Chordata; Mammalia; Primates; Hominidae.
UGAAGAGGCCUGACAGCUGAGGCUUGUCUACUGACAACACUCCCAGCAGCUGAGGGGGAUAAGACCUCCAGGCUCAAGGGUGAGCUCUACGGCCCAACACAGCGUCCACCACACUGACGCAAUAUGAUGCCGACAAAAUAAACAGGCUUUUCGAUCUUCUGUAACUUGAAGGAACUGUCACAGCCACCUCAACCUUCAGCAACCACCACUGUUCAAGGCAACAUCCUUCAGCAGCAGAAAGAUUGACUCGCUGUAGGCUCAGACAUGGGGCCUCACUAUGUUUCACAGGCUGGUCUAAAACUCCUGAGCUCCAGGGAUCUGCCUGCCUCCGCUUCCCAAAGUGGUGGGAUUGUAGGCAUGAGCCAUCAUGCCUGGCCUGCUGUGAGUUUUAAAUAAAAAUGUAAAUGCUCUUCUCCAUUUUCUUACCUCUCCUUUUAAAGUGUGUGUGUGUGUGUUUUUUUUUUAAUGUCAUAUAAGUAAUACGUAUUCGUGGUAGAAAUAUUUUUUUAAAAAAUAGAAGCAAAAAAG